This 406-nucleotide RNase P RNA is filed under the name Candidatus Nealsonbacteria bacterium CG_4_10_14_0_8_um_filter_37_14. RNAcentral describes it as "RNase P RNA component class A". It matches the Rfam family "Bacterial RNase P class A". Rfam says of the family: Ribonuclease P (RNase P) is a ubiquitous endoribonuclease, found in archaea, bacteria and eukarya as well as chloroplasts and mitochondria. Its best characterised activity is the generation of mature 5'-ends of tRNAs by cleaving the 5'-leader elements of precursor-tRNAs. RNAcentral also lists the same sequence under 3 other names. Lineage: Bacteria; Candidatus Nealsoniibacteriota. The record is from RNAcentral.
CAAGUAGGCAAGGCAAUCGCCCGUCGCCGUAAUGGCGAAUAGGGAGGAAAGUCCGAACUUCCCCGAGCACAUAAUUUAUGUGCUCGAUAAAAAAGUAGCGGGUAACACCCGUCAGCCGCAAGGCUAGAGGUGCGAACAGUGACGCCGAGAUCCGAAAGGGUUGAGGCGUCCCGCCAGAACAUGUUCUGGCGGGACGAACUUUGAGAGAAAUCUCGAAGGUGAAACGGUUAAAUCCUUACUGGAAGCAAGAACAAAGCAAAAGUUCUGGUUUUAUGUGGAGCUUUUGUUAAAAGUAGUUCGCUUGACCCCGAGAGUAAUCGAGGGGCUAGAUAGAUGAUUGCUAAACCCCGUUAGAAAAAUUUUCUAAUGGGGUGAGACAGAAUUCGGCUUAUUUCCUGCUUGAGCU